UCGAGAAUCUUCGGCAAUGGACGCAAGUCUGACCGAGCGAUGCCGCGUGCGGGAUGAAGGCCCUCGGGUUGUAAACCGCUGUCAGUUGUUAGGAAAUCUAUCAGGGUUCUCUCUGGUAGUUGACCGAUCUUCAGAGGAAGGACGGGCUAAGUUCGUGCCAGCAGCCGCGGUAACACGAACCGUCCAAACGUUAUUCGGUAUCACUGGGCUUAAAGCGUGCGUAGGCGGCCAGGAAGGUCAGAGGUGAAAUCCCACGGCUCAACCGUGGAACUGCCUUUGAAACCACUUGGCUUGAGGAAGACAGGGGUGAUGGGAACUUAUGGUGGAGCGGUGAAAUGCGUUGAUAUCAUAGGGAACACCGGUGGCGAAAGCGCAUCACUGGGUCUUUUCUGACGCUGAGGCACGAAAGCUAGGGUAGCGAACGGGAUUAGAUACCCGGGUAGUCC
RNAcentral lists this ribosomal RNA (446 nucleotides) under uncultured prokaryote. Its description in RNAcentral is "bacterial SSU rRNA". It matches the Rfam family "Bacterial small subunit ribosomal RNA", at positions 355 to 796 of the family's 1533-position model. The record is from RNAcentral.